ACGUAGUUAGCCGGUGCUUAUUCUUACGGUACCGUCAUGACCCGGGGAUAUUAGCCCCAGGCUUUUCGUUCCGUACAAAAGCAGUUUACAACCCGAGGGCCUUCAUCCUGCACGCGGCAUUGCUGGAUCAGGCUUUCGCCCAUUGUCCAAAAUUCCCCACUGCUGCCUCCCUA
This 173-nucleotide ribosomal RNA is filed under the name uncultured Comamonas sp. RNAcentral's name for it is "partial 16S ribosomal RNA". The record is from RNAcentral. Lineage: Bacteria; Pseudomonadati; Pseudomonadota; Betaproteobacteria; Burkholderiales; Comamonadaceae.